GGGGCAGUAGCUCAGUGGUUAGAGCAGCGGACUCAUAAUCCGUUGGUCGAAGGUUCAAGUCCUUCUUGCCCCA
This 73-nucleotide transfer RNA is filed under the name Candidatus Aerophobota bacterium. RNAcentral's name for it is "Candidatus Aerophobetes bacterium tRNA-Met". It matches the Rfam family "tRNA". From Rfam's summary of the family: Transfer RNA (tRNA) molecules are approximately 80 nucleotides in length. Their secondary structure includes four short double-helical elements and three loops (D, anti-codon, and T loops). Lineage: Bacteria; Candidatus Aerophobota. The record is from RNAcentral.